ACCCUUUAAUGUUUGAUGUUCUAACGUGGACCCGUUACCCGGGUUGCGGACAGUGUCUGGUGGGUAGUUUGACUGGGGCGGUCUCCUCCUAAAGAGUAACGGAGGAGCACGAAGGUUGGCUAAUCCUGGUCGGACAUCAGGAGGUUAGUGCAAUGGCAUAAGCCAGCUUGACUGCGAGCGUGACGGCGCGAGCAGGUGCGAAAGCAGGUCAUAGUGAUCCGGUGGUUCUGAAUGGAAGGGCCAUCGCUCAACGGAUAAAAGGUACUCCGGGGAUAACAGGCUGAUACCGCCCAAGAGUUCAUAUCGACGGCGGUGUUUGGCACCUCGAUGUCGGCUCAUCACAUCCUGGGGCUGAAGUAGGUCCCAAGGGUAUGGCUGUUCGCCAUUUAAAGUGGUACGCGAGCUGGGUUUAGAACGUCGUGAGACAGUUCGGUCCCUAUCUGCCGUGGGCGCUGGAGAACUGAGGGGGGCUGCUCCUAGUACGAGAGGACCGGAGUGGACGCAUCACUGGUGUUCGGGUUGUCAUGCCAAUGGCACUGCCCGGUAGCUAAAUGCGGAAGAGAUAAGUGCUGAAAGCAUCUAAGCACGAAACUUGCCCCGAGAUGAGUUCUCCCUGAGACUUAGAGUCUCCUGAAGGAACGUUGAAGACGACGACGUUGAUAGGCCGGGUGUGUAAGCGCAGCGAUGCGUUGAGCUAACCGGUACUAAUGAACCGUGAGG
This 720-nucleotide ribosomal RNA is filed under the name Salmonella enterica. RNAcentral's name for it is "partial 23S ribosomal RNA". It matches the Rfam family "Bacterial large subunit ribosomal RNA", at positions 2202 to 2916 of the family's 2925-position model. Lineage: Bacteria; Pseudomonadati; Pseudomonadota; Gammaproteobacteria; Enterobacterales; Enterobacteriaceae. RNAcentral also lists the same sequence under 1 other name. The record is from RNAcentral.